Ruditapes philippinarum (Manila clam) is the source of this 296-nucleotide long non-coding RNA. RefSeq lists it as uncharacterized. NCBI's taxonomy places the organism in Eukaryota, Metazoa, Mollusca, Bivalvia, Venerida, Veneridae. The record is from RefSeq and is a predicted model, not a curated record. The transcript is spliced from 2 exons.
UCAUGUUUGUCUUGAUUCCUUUUGUUAUGAGUGAUUGAACUGGUUUUGCAAGUUUAGUGAUGGAUGAUUUGUUUUGGUAUGCAAGUUAUUUUUAGAUGAUUUGGUUCUGGGAUAUAAUAUUUUCUUGGUAACUGACCACUCCUUGUCUCGCUUUCGAAGUGUAAAGAGCUAUAAAAGUAUUUAACAUUCAGUAAUUUCUUUAUAGAAAUACUUGAUUCUGAUUUCUAUUAUUUCAUUAGAUCUCAUCUAUAUAAAGCCUGGUUUUAUUCUUUAUUGAAUAAACAUAUAUAAACAUA